RNAcentral lists this unclassified non-coding RNA (343 nucleotides) under soil metagenome. RNAcentral describes it as "partial contains 5.8S ribosomal RNA, internal transcribed spacer 2, and large subunit ribosomal RNA". The stretch from base 1 to 120 matches the Rfam family "5.8S ribosomal RNA", at positions 35 to 154 of the family's 154-position model. The record is from RNAcentral.
GAUGAAGAACGCAGCGAAAUGCGAUAAGUAAUGUGAAUUGCAGAAUUCAGUGAAUCAUCGAAUCUUUGAACGCACAUUGCGCCCGCUAGUAUUCUGGCGGGCAUGCCUGUCCGAGCGUCAUUUCAACCCUCAAGCCCCCGGGCUUGGUGUUGGGGAUCGGCGAGCCUCCGCGCCCGCCGUCCCCUAAAUCUAGUGGCGGUCUCGCUGUAGCUUCCUCUGCGUAGUAGCACACCUCGCACUGGGAAACAGCGCGGCCACGCCGUUAAACCCCCAACUUCUGAACGUUUGACGUCGGAUCAGGUAGGAAUACCCGCUGAACUUAAGCAUAUCAAUAAGCGGAGGA